RNAcentral lists this ribosomal RNA (741 nucleotides) under uncultured Acinetobacter sp. RNAcentral describes it as "bacterial SSU rRNA". It matches the Rfam family "Bacterial small subunit ribosomal RNA", at positions 8 to 743 of the family's 1533-position model. The record is from RNAcentral. Lineage: Bacteria; Pseudomonadati; Pseudomonadota; Gammaproteobacteria; Moraxellales; Moraxellaceae.
AGAGUUUGAUCAUGGCUCAGAUUGAACGCUGGCGGCAGGCUUAACACAUGCAAGUCGAGCGGGGAAAGGUAGCUUGCUACCUGACCUAGCGGCGGACGGGUGAGUAAUGCUUAGGAAUCUGCCUAUUAGUGGGGGACAACAUUCCGAAAGGAAUGCUAAUACCGCAUACGCCCUACGGGGGAAAGCAGGGGAUCUUCGGACCUUGCGCUAAUAGAUGAGCCUAAGUCAGAUUAGCUAGUUGGUGGGGUAAAGGCCUACCAAGGCGACGAUCUGUAGCGGGUCUGAGAGGAUGAUCCGCCACACUGGGACUGAGACACGGCCCAGACUCCUACGGGAGGCAGCAGUGGGGAAUAUUGGACAAUGGGCGAAAGCCUGAUCCAGCCAUGCCGCGUGUGUGAAGAAGGCCUUUUGGUUGUAAAGCACUUUAAGCGAGGAGGAGGCUACUUAGAUUAAUACUCUAGGAUAGUGGACGUUACUCGCAGAAUAAGCACCGGCUAACUCUGUGCCAGCAGCCGCGGUAAUACAGAGGGUGCGAGCGUUAAUCGGAUUUACUGGGCGUAAAGCGUGCGUAGGCGGCUUCUUAAGUCGGAUGUGAAAUCCCUGAGCUUAACUUAGGAAUUGCAUUCGAUACUGGGAAGCUAGAGUAUGGGAGAGGAUGGUAGAAUUCCAGGUGUAGCGGUGAAAUGCGUAGAGAUCUGGAGGAAUACCGAUGGCGAAGGCAGCCAUCUGGCCUAAUACUGA